GAAGGGGGCUAGCGUUGCUCGGAAUUACUGGGCGUAAAGGGCGCGUAGGCGGAUCGUUAAGUCAGAGGUGAAAUCCCAGGGCUCAACCCUGGAACUGCCUUUGAUACUGGCGAUCUUGAGUAUGAGAGAGGUAUGUGGAACUCCGAGUGUAGAGGUGAAAUUCGUAGAUAUUCGGAAGAACACCAGUGGCGAAGGCGACAUACUGGCUCAUUACUGACGCUGAGGCGCGAAAGCGUGGGGAGCAAACAGGAUUAGAUACCCUGGUAGUCCACGCCGUAAACGAUGAUUGCUAGUUGUCGGGCUGCAUGCAGUUCGGUGACGCAGCUAACGCAUUAAGCAAUCCGCCUGGGGAGU
Molecule: ribosomal RNA, 354 nt
Filed under: uncultured bacterium
Lineage: Bacteria
Description: bacterial SSU rRNA
Rfam family: Bacterial small subunit ribosomal RNA
Source: RNAcentral